This 628-nucleotide long non-coding RNA is filed under the name Equus caballus (horse). Its description in RNAcentral is "lncRNA (ENSECAG00000058856.1)". The record is from RNAcentral. Lineage: Eukaryota; Metazoa; Chordata; Mammalia; Perissodactyla; Equidae.
GUAGGGGAACCGAUAUCAGGGCUGAUAUUAACUAAGAGCCAGUGACAAUGCUCCCAUUCAGAAUACCUAUAGCUCACUAAACUUCUUCAUUUCGUGAAGACAAUUUUGUCAUGUGACAUGGCUGCUAUAUGGAUUGGAUAGUUCAUCGAAUUGGAGUGUCAAAAUUUGAUCUUCUUUAGACGCAGAAAAGCCAUCCAAAGUUCCCAGAAAAUGUCACGAAAACACCCAAGGUGAAAGUCAAGCUGAGCAAAACCAAGAGCCUGAGCUGUGUCUGAAAAGAGGAAAGGAAGUAGAAGAGAGGAUGCCAGUAAGAUACCAGAUCAUUGUUCCAAGAAAACUGGCAGCAAUGCCUCCUGAUUCAUCAGCUUUUCUGAGUCAGAAGACAAAAGUGCCUUGAAUUACCCAGCAAAUCAUUGUACAGAGAUGCAAAGUCAAAUGUCAUAUUUCGCUAAGCCCAGCCGGCAGCAGCAGGAAUGCCAGACAACAACCUUGCCUGAAUGUUGGGCAGGUUGGAACUUUUCUUGACGUGGUCAUUUAAACGUGCAAUAGGUUUGUAGUCCUCACGUCUGUCACCUGGACAGGUCCUGGCUCCCUCCUUAAUGGGUCUGCUGCAAAGGCUACAGAGAAC